AGAGUUUGAUCCUGGCUCAGAUUGAACGCUGGCGGCAUGCCUAACACAUGCAAGUCGAACGGAAACGAUGCUAGCUUGCUAGCAGGCGUCGAGUGGCGGACGGGUGAGUAAUGUAUAGGGAUCUGCCUAGUAGUGGGGGACAACAUGUGGAAACGCAUGCUAAUACCGCAUACGCUCUACGGAGGAAAGUGGGGGACCUUUCGGGGCCUCAUGCUACUAGAUGAACCUAUAUUGGAUUAGCUUGUUGGUAAGGUAAUGGCUUACCAAGGCGACGAUCCAUAGCUGGUUUGAGAGAAUGAUCAGCCACACUGGGACUGAGACACGGCCCAGACUCCUACGGGAGGCAGCAGUGGGGAGUAUUGCACAAUGGAGGAAACUCUGAUGCAGCAAUGCCGCGUGUGUGAAGAAGGCCUUAGGGUUGUAAAGCACUUUCAGACGUGAGGAAAAGUAAUAAUUUAAUAAAUUAUUGCCUUGACGUUAACGUCAGAAGAAGGACCGGCUAACUCCGUGCCAGCAGCCGCGGUAAUACGGAGGGUCCAAGCGUUAAUCGGAAUUACUGGGCGUAAAGCGCGCGUAGGCGGAUAUUUAAGUCAGAUGUGAAAUCCCUGGGCUCAACCUAGGAACUGCAUUUGAUACUGGAUAUCUAGAGUAUGGUAGAGGUGAGUGGAAUUUCAGGUGUAGCGGUGAAAUGCGUAGAGAUCUGAAGGAACAUCAGUGGCGAAGGCGACUCACUGGGCCAUUACUGACGCUGAGGUGCGAAAGCGUGGGUAGCAAACAGGAUUAGAUACCCUGGUAGUCCACGCCCUAAACGAUGUCAACUAGGUGUAUGGGAGUUUAACUCCUGUGUAUCGAAGCUAACGCGAUAAGUUGACCGCCUGGGGAGUACGGUCGCAAGACUAAAACUCAAAUGAAUUGACGGGGGCCCGCACAAGCG
Molecule: ribosomal RNA, 934 nt
Filed under: uncultured bacterium
Lineage: Bacteria
Description: bacterial SSU rRNA
Rfam family: Bacterial small subunit ribosomal RNA
Source: RNAcentral